RNAcentral lists this ribosomal RNA (119 nucleotides) under Gossypium hirsutum (cotton). Lineage: Eukaryota; Viridiplantae; Streptophyta; Magnoliopsida; Malvales; Malvaceae. The record is from RNAcentral.
GGGUUCGAUCAUACCAGCGCUAAUGUAUCGGAUCCCAUCAGAACUCUGCAGUGAAGUGUACGUGGGCGAGAUUAGUACUAGGUUGGGUGACCUCCAGGGAUGUCCUCGUAUUUCACCCA